GGAUUAGAUACCCUGGUAGUCCACGCCGUAAACGAUGAGGGCUAGUUGUCAGGCAGCAUGCUGUUUGGUGGCGCAGCUAACGCAUUAAGCCCUCCGCCUGGGGAGUACGGUCGCAAGAUUAAAGCUCAAAGGAAUUGACGGGGACCCGCACAAGCGGUGGAACAUGUGGUUUAAUUCGAGGCAACGCGAAGAACCUUACCAGGCCUUGACAUGCUUGUCGCGAGAUCCAGAGACGGAUCUCUUCAGUUCGGCUGGACAAUGCACAGGUGCUGCAUGGCUGUCGUCAGCUCGUGCCG
RNAcentral lists this ribosomal RNA (296 nucleotides) under uncultured bacterium. RNAcentral's name for it is "partial 16S ribosomal RNA". It matches the Rfam family "Bacterial small subunit ribosomal RNA", at positions 775 to 1067 of the family's 1533-position model. The record is from RNAcentral.